Molecule: transfer RNA, 73 nt
Filed under: Oedocladium carolinianum
Lineage: Eukaryota; Viridiplantae; Chlorophyta; Chlorophyceae; Oedogoniales; Oedogoniaceae
Also listed under: 4 other names
Description: tRNA-Ile
Rfam family: tRNA
About the family: Transfer RNA (tRNA) molecules are approximately 80 nucleotides in length.
Source: RNAcentral
GCACUUUUGGCCGAGCGGUUUAGGCAAUCGACUCAUAAUCGAUUUUAGGUGGGUUCAACUCCUACAAGGUGCA